RNAcentral lists this long non-coding RNA (441 nucleotides) under Amphimedon queenslandica. RNAcentral describes it as "uncharacterized LOC109588761, transcript variant X2". The record is from RNAcentral. Lineage: Eukaryota; Metazoa; Porifera; Demospongiae; Haplosclerida; Niphatidae.
AGCCUCUAUAGCAAAAAGAAUAUGCAAUGGUUGUAUCUGAUGCUAGUGUUAUCAAGAAUGAUUUAUCAACUGUUGAGAAAAAGGUGAGUUCCUCCCUUGUUUGUGUCACCUUGAGAAGAGUCUCCUCACUGCAUUGAACGAGGUCAAGGGUCGUAUCCUAGACAACAACAGAAUCAUUACUGAGCUUCAGACUCUUAAGGAAGAGGCUGCAGAAGUUCAGAGGAAGAUGGAGGAGACUGAUACUGUAAUGGCUGAAUUUGACAGAGUCUCCCAGCAAUACCUGCCUCUCUCCACCUCCUGCUCUGCCAUGUACUUCACUCUGGAGUCACUCAAUCAGGUUGUGGACCUGAGGCUGAACUCAUCAUCUCAAGGACUGAUCUCUCAUUCAUAUACUGAAGAUCUAUAGACUAGGUUUAGGAACUAAGGACUGUAACACUAUAA